GACGAACGCUGGCGGCGUGCUUAACACAUGCAAGUCGAACGGAAAGGCCCUGCUUUUGUGGGGUGCUCGAGUGGCGAACGGGUGAGUAACACGUGAGUAACCUGCCCUUGACUUUGGGAUAACUUCAGGAAACUGGGGCUAAUACCGGAUAGGAGCUCCUGCUGCAUGGUGGGGGUUGGAGAGUUUCGGCGGUUGGGGAUGGACUCGCGGCUUAUCAGCUUGUUGGUGGGGUAGUGGCUUACCAAGGCUUUGACGGGUAGCCGGCCUGAGAGGGUGACCGGCCACAUUGGGACUGAGAUACGGCCCAGACUCCUACGGGAGGCAGCAGUGGGGAAUAUUGCACAAUGGGCGGAAGCCUGAUGCAGCAACGCCGCGUGCGGGAUGACGGCCUUCGGGUUGUAACCCGCUUUCGCCUGUGACGAAGCGUGAGUGACGGUAAUGGGUAAAGAAGCACCGGCUAACUACGUG
RNAcentral lists this ribosomal RNA (468 nucleotides) under uncultured bacterium. Its description in RNAcentral is "partial 16S ribosomal RNA". It matches the Rfam family "Bacterial small subunit ribosomal RNA", at positions 28 to 507 of the family's 1533-position model. The record is from RNAcentral.